AACAUCCGCACAGAUAUAACAGACACACCCUAAAGCAGAUUAGUUCUGGCGUUCAAGGCAGUACUGAAGGGGGCUCAGUCACUGCAGUGAUCGCGCACCGUUACCUCUUAAACCUCGAAAAAGUAAUUUAGGAAAGGCCUGGGAAAUGAAGACAUCAUAUUGGCUGCAGUUGCUGUUUGUCCUUCUCAAAUCCUAGAAACACAUUCAGUUGAUGUCGCCGAAUCUUUUUCCAGAUUAUAAUUUGUUUUGGGAUCGUACCACGUGACAAGCAACCGCAAAGAACGGGGACAUCGAGAGAGUUUUUAAAUACUUCUAAAUUCUCUUCUUAGUGCACAAGACUGCACUUUAUCUGCAGUAUGUCAGAGAAGCAAGAAAAGGACUUUCUGUCUGAGAUGAGUCUCUCAGAGAAACAGAGUGUAAGAACAGGCUCAGAUGUGUCCAGCUCUGUGUCUGUGAAGAAUGACCAGUCAAAAGAUGAACCUCCGGAUUUAAGUGAGGAAAAACCAUCAUGUACCGAA
Long non-coding RNA from Cyprinus carpio (common carp), 518 nucleotides. RefSeq lists it as uncharacterized. NCBI's taxonomy places the organism in Eukaryota, Metazoa, Chordata, Actinopteri, Cypriniformes, Cyprinidae. The record is from RefSeq and is a predicted model, not a curated record. The transcript is spliced from 3 exons.